RNAcentral lists this ribosomal RNA (206 nucleotides) under Colletotrichum johnstonii. Its description in RNAcentral is "partial 28S ribosomal RNA". Lineage: Eukaryota; Fungi; Ascomycota; Sordariomycetes; Glomerellales; Glomerellaceae. The record is from RNAcentral.
AAAAGGGAAGCGCUUGUGACCAGACUUGCGUCCGGUGAAUCACCCAGCUCUCGCGGCUGGGGCACUUCGCCGGCACAGGCCAGCAUCAGCUUGCCGUCGGGGACAAAAGCUUCAGGAACGUGGCUCCUCUCGGGGAGUGUUAUAGCCUGUUGCAUAAUACCCUUCGGCGGGCUGAGGUACGCGCUCCGCAAGGAUGCUGGCNUAAU